CAAAUUGCUUAGUUUAAUCGAAUUACGUUUUAAAUAUUGAUUAAAAUUGAUUAUUGCAUUGUAUUUCUCAUUGAAAUUGAUCAUUCUCUCUGUAAUCAGAAAUUGUUUCUAUGUAAUGAAAAACAAUUGAAUAAUUGAAAAUUAUUUGUUUGUUUUCCCUUCCUCUUUUUCUUUCCCAUAUCUUUUCUUACUCAUCUAUCCUGUCCAUUUUCCUAUCUUUGUUUUUCUGGGAUGUGCUACCAACUCGGACGAGUCCUGAAGACGUUGGAACAGCACCAAGAAGAAGUGCUCCUGACAAUGAUCGUGAGUCACAGGGUGGUGUUAGGGUCGGUCUGAAGAUUGCCUGAUCUGCCUCACAAUCAUCGUCAGAGACUGAGACCCUGAGACCCUUUAGACCCCUGGACCCCACCUCUCACUCCGGGCAGGAGCCACCGAGUCUGGCCAAGGCGGAUGCUCUAAUGGACUGUGUCAGGUGUGUGCUGAACUGUCACGGUGCACUGCGCUCUAGCAGGUGCAGGCUGAACCGUACUUUCUGCAGCUGAGCAACAGUCCUCACACACAAUAGUCCAUAAAUCUUCCCACCUUUUGGCGCCUCGCCUGGAAAUGGACUAUAAAAUUAUCACUCUCAGAAGAGACCUUGGAGACUUCUUUCUCCCUACUGAUGGAAGACAUCGCCGGAUGAUCCGAGGACGUCCCAUCUGUUGGUAGCUAUUCCCCCUGUUCUCUCUCUGUCUCUCUGUCUCUCUCUCUCUCUCUCUCUUCGUCAUCCUUUUAUCUCUCUCCUUCUCACCAUUACCCCGAAAUCUGUAUUGUUUGCCCUCAAUAAAUUGCUUUGCUGCUUGUUGCUGAACAAAACCUUAGUCUCUUGCUGUGGUCUUUUACACCCUGUGGUCAAACGAACCAUCACGACCCCUGCUCAGAUUGUGCGGACCGUGACACAGAGGCAGGGGGAGAGCCCAGUCCCGGGGGCGGCGUUUCUGCCCCGACCCCCGUCCAGCCCAGCCUCCCCCGAGUGCGCAGUGACCGCUGGCACGGCUGCACUGGACAGUGGGACCUGCUGGGGACACUGAGAGCUGCCCCACUGUGACACUGCCCGUGGGAUUUCACAGGCACCAAACAAAUGACAGCCAGCCCCGCUCCUUGGGAUGUCUCAGGCCCCAGGAGUGUCCCAAGUGUGGGGGAGCAUCUCACAGACCUCUUAUUUGACCAGAUACCAACGGAGGCACCACUGAGGGAAGCCCUGCGAGUGCCCCGAGUGCAGGAAGAGCUUUGUGCCUCUCUUAGGCUGCAAUGCCAGAUGUAACCAGAAGUAUAUAUUCUAUCCCCAUCUGCUAAAACCAGGUGGAGCAGUGUUCCUUAUCCCUUCCAUGACCCAUCCCUCAUAACUCCAGGGGGGAUAUCCUCUGUGAAUAGGCCAACUGUUAAAGCCAGGAGGGGCAGUUUUCUUUAUCUCUUCCAGGACCCAUCCUUUGUCCAGGAAGAUAUUUUCUGUUAAUAAGCCAUAAAGUCUUACUGCACGACUGAUCCUGUGAAAGGGAACAAUACACAAUAAAGCCGCUGCUGGCACCGAGGUGUGACCAUGGCCCGCUGUGACCUCAUCUCAUGCGCUGGCCCUGGGUGAGAUGAUGCUGAAACUGGGCACUCCUGAGGAGGAGACAAGAAGGGGUGGUCCUGGGGUGGAGAGCGAGGAUGACGUGAUGCACACCGUUUUCAUGCAGGGGAUGCCUUGAAGGUGUGCUGCCCUCCUGCCCCUCCUGCUCGGGUGCCAUACCCUAUCUCCUUCUCCUGCUCAGCGGCUUCUCCAACAUCCAGGGGUUGGUAUGGAUUUAUUGCUAACAUGACUAAUAAAAUUGACUUGCUUUGCUACUCUGUGUCUUGAGAUUUUUGUGCACAGGCAUCCUCCUGA
Catharus ustulatus (Swainson's thrush) is the source of this 1906-nucleotide long non-coding RNA. The record is from Ensembl. NCBI's taxonomy places the organism in Eukaryota, Metazoa, Chordata, Aves, Passeriformes, Turdidae.